RNAcentral lists this ribosomal RNA (413 nucleotides) under uncultured crenarchaeote. RNAcentral describes it as "partial 16S ribosomal RNA". It matches the Rfam family "Archaeal small subunit ribosomal RNA", at positions 187 to 605 of the family's 1478-position model. Lineage: Archaea; Thermoproteati; Thermoproteota. The record is from RNAcentral.
UUUAGGCGCCGCCCAAGGGAUGGGACCGCAUCCUAUCAGGUAGUUGGUGGGGUAACGGCCCACCAAGCCUAUAACGGGUACGGGCCCUGAGAGGGGGAGCCCGGAGAUGGGUACUGAGACAAGGACCCAGGCCCUACGGGGCGCAGCAGGCGCGAAACCUCCGCAAUGCGCGAAAGCGCGACGGGGCCACCCCGAGUGCCAUCCGCUGAGGGNNNNNNUUCCCUAGUGUAGUNNNCUAGGGGAAUAAGCGGGGGGCAAGUCUGGUGUCAGCCGCCGCGGUAAUACCAGCUCCGCGAGUGGUCGGGACGAUUAUUGGGCCUAAAGCGUCCGUAGCCGGCCUAACAAGUCUCUGGUUAAAUCUCAAGGCUUAACCUUGAGAUCGCUGGAGAUACUGUUAGGCUAGGGGGCGGGAG